CUGGACGGACCAGUCAGUGACAUCAUGUAUCCUCUGCUGUCCUGUCACGUUCACUGAUCUACAGCAAGUCUAUAAGAUGAAGCACUGAUCUGCAAACCCAUCACUUGACUGAACUCUGCUCCGCUUCCACAUAGGGCAGUAUGAAGCUGAAGUCAUGACUGAAAAUAACACCGUGACCCAACCCAGGCCCUUCAUCAUGUCUGCUGCAACCAACUUCAGAAAUCUGUGAUUGCUUCCAAGACCUGCCCGUGUGGUACAAUUUGCAAUGACUGCGUGUGCGCCUGCUGCUGGGGGACGUGCACCUGGUGUCAAAUAGCAAGAGAAAUCAAAA
Micropterus dolomieu (smallmouth bass) is the source of this 331-nucleotide long non-coding RNA. RefSeq lists it as uncharacterized. Lineage: Eukaryota; Metazoa; Chordata; Actinopteri; Centrarchiformes; Centrarchidae. The record is from RefSeq and is a predicted model, not a curated record. The transcript has 3 exons.